GGUCUUACAGGUUUCCAUGAAUCGAGAAGCACUGGCUGUGGUUACAGCUCAACUGCAGGAAGGGUACAUAUCCAUCAUGAAGCCCUGAACGCAACUGUCUAGAUGCAUAGUAACAGAUUUUCAGCUUUAUCUAAGGGAACAAAAUCACAUCCAGGAAUAAGGAAGUUCCUGUGGAAGGGCAUUUCUGAAAUUAAGAGGCUUCCUCAUUUGCAGAAUUCAGAUGGUCAUGCUUGGAUGAUGGGCUGUAAGCUGCUUUAAAAAGGUUGGAACAGGAAAGACUUCAGAAGAUCCAGGAGGGAAUUGCAUGUCCCGAAAAAAUCCCAUGAUAAUAAACCUAUAUACAGCAAA
Long non-coding RNA from Pseudopipra pipra, 348 nucleotides. RefSeq lists it as uncharacterized. The transcript is spliced from 3 exons. Lineage: Eukaryota; Metazoa; Chordata; Aves; Passeriformes; Pipridae. The record is from RefSeq and is a predicted model, not a curated record.